UGGGGAAUUUUGCGCAAUGGGCGAAAGCCUGACGCAGCAACGCCGCGUGAGUGAUGAAGGUCUUCGGAUCGUAAAGCUCUUUCGGCCGGGACGAAAACGUCGGAGCGAACAGCUCCGGCCUUGACGGUACCGGAAGAAGAAGCACCGGCUAACUCUGUGCCAGCAGCCGCGGUAAUACAGAGGGUGCAAGCGUUGUUCGGAAUUAUUGGGCGUAAAGCGCGUGUAGGCGGCAAAGUGUGUCGGGUGUGAAAGCCCUCGGCUUAACCGAGGAAGUGCGCCCGAAACUGCUUAGCUCGAGUGCUGGAGAGGGUAGCGGAAUUCCCGGUGUAGAGGUGAAAUUCGUAGAUAUCGGGAGGAACACCAGUGGCGAAGGCGGCUACCUGGACGGACACUGACGCUGAGACGCGAAAGCGUGGGGAGCAAACAGG
Molecule: ribosomal RNA, 428 nt
Filed under: uncultured bacterium
Lineage: Bacteria
Description: bacterial SSU rRNA
Rfam family: Bacterial small subunit ribosomal RNA
Source: RNAcentral